Molecule: small RNA, 1011 nt
Filed under: Drosophila ananassae
Lineage: Eukaryota; Metazoa; Arthropoda; Insecta; Diptera; Drosophilidae
Description: GF27339
Source: RNAcentral
CUUCAAAAGCUAUCUAUUAUAAGCCAUAUUUCAUACACUUGACUUGCUUUAAUCAACUAUUUGGCAUUAAAGGAUUGGCGUCGAAUACUCGGUAUUUAUUUGGGAAUUAUUGAAGCCAAAGACCACAGGCUUUUUCGAAGAUGUUGAUCUAAAUUCGAUGUGUUUAUCAAGGCGUUUACAGUCGCUCCCGGCAACAAUGGCUGUUGAAUCCCUCGGAAAUUCACUCCCGCCUUGGACACUUGAUGGACCAGUUCGGUUGAAAAACCCAGAAACAAAAAAAAUGGAAAGAAACAUCAGACGAGCUGUGAACAUGUCUGUCGGCAUAAAAAAAGGAAACACAAGCCCAAAAAUGGCGUAUUUUUGCGCUAUCAUACUCGACUUACAGACCGGAGGGAGUGGUGCGUGGGUGCGGCACUCCACGGGCCAUCUAUGUGGUGUUGUCAGUGCGACUGUCAGUGUCAUUGCAACUCCAGUGUAUCACUGUUGCUGCAACCAACUGUGGCCGACACACAAGCUCAUAUAUAGCCGCUUCCUGCUGCAUAUCUCUUCAUGCUACGUUUAUUUAGUUUUGGGCGAAACUUUUUCUGCUUGAUUGUUUUUUUUUUGGUUGCUUACUGUUGUGCAAUUUUCAGCGGGGAAAGCAUUAAGCCACGUUACUUUCCUUCUUUUUUGUUGCAUGGCUUCAAACCCGCCAACAACAUUAGCAAGUCAAACAAUUUUUGUUUGCCUAGCAAGCAGGCAGCUGGUAGGGAUACAAAAAACGACACCAAAAAAGCUGGAAAAUAAUUUGAAGCAAAUUUUAAUUAAUGCCGGCAGCACUGCCGGCGGAUACAGACAGUCAAAAAAGAGAUACCAACCGAGGGGGCAUCGUGGGGGAGUUAACCGCAUAGCAACAUUUGGCCAGGACCGGGACGAGUACGAGAACGAGGACAUCGUCAGCAGCCCGCCAGACCGCAACACCUUUUAACAAUUUCCGCCCCCUGCCAUACCAAUUUCCACAAACCACCACCU